Molecule: long non-coding RNA, 343 nt
Organism: Aphis gossypii (cotton aphid)
Lineage: Eukaryota; Metazoa; Arthropoda; Insecta; Hemiptera; Aphididae
Exons: 3
Source: RefSeq, a predicted model, not a curated record
AAUAAUUAGAAGAAAAUAAUUCAUAUCAAUAAAUAAUAAUCAACGGAAUGCGUGCAUGAUCGUUAAAUAUUACUACUGGUAUUCUUUAAAACUCGGAAUACAUUCCAUGAAUAGCGGCGCAUGUUAUUUAAAAUGAAAACAUAUCAAAUACAUUAUGCAACGGCCAACGGCAAAGAAGUGAAACAAUUUUUAUAACCAUAUAAUAAACGUGCACAAAAACUAUUCAAUGUCCGACUGACUCGCGGAUCAUAUGGAUUAUUUAGGGAGCAAAGAGCGAACAAGCUUAUAAUACAGAUGGAAGCCCUCAAAUUCGCAUUGAUACCGAUCGAAUCGCAAAGCAUAG